Molecule: ribosomal RNA, 971 nt
Filed under: Triticum aestivum (bread wheat)
Lineage: Eukaryota; Viridiplantae; Streptophyta; Magnoliopsida; Poales; Poaceae
Description: partial small subunit ribosomal RNA
Source: RNAcentral
CCGCAGUCCACACACACCUAACCCUAAUUCCCCAUUCUCUCCUCCCGUCCCCUCAGCCGCCACCACUCCACCAAUCUUCCUCCGCCCGCUCCACGCCGGCUCCGCCGCAGAACAGGCCUUACCUGUGCCGACCAAUCGAUGCCCUCUCUUCUCCCCUCUAUAUGCGCGCCCCUCCCCAUCUUUCCCACCGCCGCAGCCACCAGCCCGUAGCCCCCACCCUGAUUCUAGAUCACGCCCUCGAGAUGCGGCGACAGUGGUGGCGGCGGGUCCGACUGCUGCAGUUGGACGAUGGUGGACGCCGUCCACAACCUCCCGGCGCAGAUCAGUCCGCCUUCCUGGUUCGCAGUCGAGCAGCGCACGUGCCGCGAUGAUCCCCAUGAUGCGCUGGCCAUCUAAACCAGAUCGUCGCCGACGAGAAGUCUCUAAUGUCCUGUGUGGCGGCCACGGGUCCAUCUUCAGUCGGCGGCGAGCUAUGGUGAGGUACACAUGGCACUGAUAGAUGCAGUGUACAGGGGCGCCGCCGCUGCCAUGGAGCUGGCCACCAGCUUCUGCCUGCCGUGAUGGGCGCUGCCUCCGCUGCUUUGCCAGGGCCCUCCUGCCCUUCGUUUAUGUGCUGCCCCUCGUCAUCAUCUCCGUGGGUGGGCUCUUGCACUGCAAUGCCCCUGAACCCCAUUCUCCACCCAUCCGACAGUGUGCUAGAUGUCGUCCUCCUCGACGCGGCCGUCCUCGACGAGCUCUCUUGGUCGUAGAAGGCGGAGCAGCAAAGCAUCCUAUCCUCCAGCGCGUGGACUGACGGCUGCAUCCUCCUGCUCUCCUAGCGUGGUAUUGAAUUACACAGAAUUUGCUGGAGGGCAACUUUUCCCAUAAAACUUAAAGAAUGAGUUGUGAGGUGGUACUAAGGGGCUUUAGGUACGGAGAUUGUUGGCAGCGGCACACGCGAUGGUGCUCACUUGUGCGAUUUGGCAAGGAAG